This is a non-coding RNA of Lasiosphaeris hirsuta, 107 nucleotides long. Lineage: Eukaryota; Fungi; Ascomycota; Sordariomycetes; Sordariales; Lasiosphaeriaceae. The record is from the annotation of a GenBank genome assembly.
GGUAACGCGGCCGAGCGGUUAAGGCGCUACGUUGGGGUCAACAGCCUUGAUAUAAUCUCGGGAUUCCGUGGUCCGAAAGGGUGUGAGUUCGAAUCUCACCGUUAUCA